UCGUGAGUUCUCUCGGGAUUCUCUCCGACAGUGGCGGAGGCGGUAGUCAAGCGUGGAGGUUGGUGAACUCGUAGGCGAUUCACCGCGGUGAGAAAGUGAGGACGGUUCAUCGCGAUGAGAAGACGAAGGCGGUUCGUCGCGGCGGGAAUACGAAGGCGACUUGGUUCUCCGGUCUCCUUCUCCGAUUAUCUUCUCCGUCAACGGUAACAGCGGCAAUGGCGAGGGUCCUUGAAACCAGGAGCUGCUCUUUUCAAAUGGUGGACAUGAGCAUCCAAUGUCUUAAAAGCAAUGCCUUCAUGACUUGA
Non-coding RNA from Lupinus albus (white lupine), 305 nucleotides. The record is from the annotation of a GenBank genome assembly. NCBI's taxonomy places the organism in Eukaryota, Viridiplantae, Streptophyta, Magnoliopsida, Fabales, Fabaceae.